AACCCCAACAACAUUUAAAAUGAGAAUUGGAGUGAAAGAAAUGUGGAUUUGGAGAAGUCUGGGACCAGCUUCCCUCCCCCACCACCAUGGGCUCAAGAUCAAUCAUCCCACCUAG
This is a small nucleolar RNA of Sciurus carolinensis (gray squirrel), 115 nucleotides long. RefSeq annotates it as small nucleolar RNA SNORA38. Lineage: Eukaryota; Metazoa; Chordata; Mammalia; Rodentia; Sciuridae. The record is from RefSeq and is a predicted model, not a curated record. The transcript has a single exon.